UCACUUUGAACUUCUAUUUAAAGUUAGGCUGAUUUGUGUUAACAAUUGAACAGGUAGACCUAAUAAAGUUGAGUAUAAAAAUAAUGCACGACGGACUAUGAUUCUUUUUUUUUUGGCAAAAUGCCGAAACCCGGGAUCGAACCAGGGACCUUUAGAUCUUCAGUCUAACGCUCUCCCAACUGAGCUAUUUCGGCUACCGUAGAACGGUAUUUCUAAUAAUAUACUACUAUUAGUCAAAUAAAUAUUUGAAAAUGCCGGUUUAUUUUGUCUUAGUUCUGAAUUGCAACGAAUGAGACCGCAAUUUGUUUUGCUGUCCAAAGAUUGACUUCGCUGUUUAAUUGGUUUUCGUUGAUUCGUUAAUUGGUUUUCGAAAGAUCUCCGAUUCGCUGCUAAAAGAUGGAAUCGCGCACAUGAUUGACUUUCGAAUUUCUGAAUCGGCGACGCGACUAGCGGGCUUAUAUGGAUUUGCGGUAACCAAGUUCCGUAAAUGCAAUAUAUCCAAGUCAUGUCAGGCAUUUGUAACGCUAAUGUAACUUGAACAUCGGGAGUUUUGCAAUCAAGUUUGUGCAGUUGCAGCCGUAGCUUUAGCUGGUUGUAUUUUUUUCUGCCGAUGAAAUUGCUUGUUUUCUUUGGGAGUUGUACGCUGGAGUGCGUCGUUUCUGAUUAGGGUAUUAGGGUAUUGGUGGUAUUCUGAUGACCACCUUAAGCAGUGCCUCCUCCACCUCCAGCCGUGCCUCCACCACCUCCAGCAGUGCCUCCUCUUCAGUCAUCUACAGUUUUGCUUCAGCCCCAGCUUCCUUCUUCCAUGUCCUCUUCACAACAGGAUGCUGUAGACAACCGCAACAUUCCUGGAACGGACCGUGUAGAUGAACUGGCUGAAUACUUGGUGGAGCUACGAGAGCAGACGGGAUUGACCCUGAACAAUCCACAAGUUAGCACCAUUCUGGGUUUGCGGCAGAGUCUUGACAAAUUUGACAAAGACAGGAUUGUGUAUGCUGCAAGACAUCAGGACCGGUGGCUAACUGGGCACUUCAGGUCUCCUAAAAAGAAGGCUGUGUUCACUCCUGGGGUGGAAAGUACAAAACGGUGUGUUCUUGGCUCAAGUGGUUCACCAGCUCAGUGGCCAAACUGCUGUCGCCUGAUUGAGACCAUCUUCGUGAGGCUGUGCAACAUUCACACGAGCCCCAAAGAAAGAGGACAACACAGCGUAUCUCGGCAGCUGGUUCUGUGCAAUGGGACACUAAUGCAGCAGACAACCCUUCAACGUGUUGUAGUGAACCAGACCACCCUCAUGCAGUGGUAUAACCAACGGUUGAAGGGUCAGGAGGCGUCUGUUCUUUUGCAAGGUGUGCAACGGCCAGCUGACCCACUGCCCUUUUGCAAAAACAAAACCCAUCUCUCUGCCACAGUACCAACGCCAGCCCCCAGCUUCACACCUACCAUAUGCCAGCAAAUACAGCUGGACAGGCAAAACCUAGGUUACGGUGAAUACGGUGGACCAUCAGCCAUCCUUUCAGUUGGAGAUGUGCGUGAAAGUCCCAGUAGAUGAGGAGCUUCUGAAAUACUCCACCACGUUCAAAGUCGCUUAAAUGCCCUCUCUUCCCUUUCUGAUGCUCGCUUUGAACUUCUAUUUAAAGUUAGGCUGAUUUGUGUUAACAAUUGAACAGGUAGACCUAAUAAAGUGGAGUUUUUCUUUUGACAUUUUGCUUUACAGCUGCAAUGCUACUGCUUUGAAAUGAGUAUUAUAAUAAAAAAUAAUGCACGACGGACUAUGAUUCUUUUUUUUUUUUUGCAUUUACAACUAAACUGGGAGAUGUACAAGUCCUUUUGUAUUUUGUUUUUGCUGAAUUCAAGAAUUGCAUCAUCUGUAAAAUGAGAGCCUGACACAACUCCAGCCGUUUUAGUGAGGCUCCCCUACAGCCCUCUUCAGCUAUUUCUGAUUAGAAUCUUCUAAAACCGAAUAAUGUAAUAAUUUAUUUGAUAUGCCUCUACAAUCACUUAAAAAGUUUCGGCAGGAAAAUGCCGAAACCCGGGAUCGAACCAGGGACCUUUAGAUCUUCAGUCUAACGCUCUCCCAAUGGUUUGUAAAACUUUUAAUUUAUAACAAAGACAAUAUGUAUGUACAAUUGUGAACAAAAUGACAUUCACAUUUAAGCAUUUAUAAAGCUGAAAUUGUCAAAGAAACAAAUCAAACCCCAAUGAAACCUUGAUACAACUAUGAAAUAAGAUGUAAAACUUGCAGUGGAACUCAAAGGGCAGAACAGGCCACAGGGAUAAGCAUAUUAAAAGUAACAAUACUGCAUUACUGUCUCAUCUGCUUCAGCCACUGUUCUUUGGUGAGAGCCUCAGUGUUUGGACAGUAUAUUUUUCCUUUGUACUGAAGAGGGUGGCUGAUGGUCCACUGGAGGCAACUGCAGGAUCAAUUUGCCGUAACCUAGGUUUUGCCUGUCCAGCUGUAUUUGCUGGCAUAUGGUAUGUGUGCAGCUGGUAACUGGGGGCUGUUGUUGGUACUGUGGCAGAGAGAUGGGUUUUGUUUUUGCAAAGGGCAGUGGGUCAGCUGCCACUGGCCGUUGCACACCUUGCAAAAGAACAGACGCCUCCUGACCCUUCAGCCGUUGGUUAUUCCACUGCAUGAGGGUGGUCUGGUUCACUACAACACGUUGAAGGGUUGUCUGCUGCAUUAGUGUCCCAUUGCACAGAACCAGCUUCCGGAUCUUUUUGUAAUCCUGUAAAAUUAGAGACCAUCGAGAUACGCUGUGUUGUCCUCUUUUUUGGGGCUCGUAUGAAUGUUGCACAGCCUCGCGAAGAUGGUCUCUAUCAGGCGACAGCAGUUUGGCCACUGAGCUGGUGAACCACUUGAGCCAAGAACACACCGUUUUGUGCUUUCCACCCCAGGAGUGAACACAGCCUUCUUUUUAGGAGACCUGAAGUGCCCAGUUAGCAACCGGUCCUGAUGUCUUGCAGCAUACACAAUCCUGUCUUUGUCAAAUUUGUCAAGACUCUGCCGCAAACCCAGAAUGGUGCUAACUUGUUGAUUGUUCAGGGUCAAUCCUGUCUGUUCUCGUAGCUCCACCAAGUAUUCAGCCAGUUCAUCUACACGGUCCGUUCCAGGAAUGUUGCGGUUGUCUACAGCCUGGAAAAUAAAAACUGAUAUUUAGGUUCUCUGGCAUCACAAUUUCCUUGUCACUACUUAAAUUCUUGCAGACAGACAGACAGACUUCAGGGACCCGACGAGAACCCAAAUGCGACACCGGAGUUCGACGGAACACAGCUUUAUUAUCAGGAAUAGACAGCAGACAGGAUUCACUGGGGAGCCGGCAGGAUAGAAUAGUUGGGGAAGGUGGAAGGUGAUCUAUAGAUCGACUGAGAAUUUAUUUAUUUAUCACUUACAUCCUGUUGUGAAGAGGACAUGGAAGAAGGAAGCUGGGGCUGAAGCAAAACUGUAGAUGACUGAAGAGUAGGCACGGCUGGAGGUGGAGGAGGCACGGCUGGAGGUGGAGGAGGCACUGCUGGAGGUAGUGGAGACCAUAACAUAACAAGUAAUCAGAAACGACGCACUCCAGCGUACAACUGCCAAAGAAAACAAGCAAUUUCAUCGGCAGAAAAAAAUACAACCAGCUAAAGCUCCGGCAGCAACUGCACAAACUUUAUUGCAAAACUCCCGAUGAUCAAGUUACAUUAGCGUUACAAAUGCCUGACAUGACUUGGACAUAUUGCAUUGAGCAUUUACGGUGAUAUUUUAUGUGAAAUGAAAAAAAAAACCGUAACGAAUAACAGACCUCAAUUUGCGCACGUACCUUGUCAAAAUCCACGGAGAUGUCCGUAAUAAACAGCGGGCAGAUUUUUAAAUUCUAAAUAAACUCUCGGAUCGAUUGGCUUUUCCAAAGAUUGAGACCGCAGUUUAAUUUAAACCGGGAAACACUGUCGAAAGAUUGAAUCACGCAGACGAUUGGCUGUUGAAAGAUUGAAUCACGCAGACGAUUCGCUGCUGAAAGAUGGAAUCGCGCACAUGAUUGGCUUUCGAAUUUCUGAAUCGGCGACGCGACAGGCGGGUUUAUAUGGAUUUGCGGUCGCCAAGCACCGCCCUUUCGGCUACCGUACGAAUUCCCGGGAGAUGUGCGUGAUAUGAAAGUCCUAGUAGAUGAGGAGUUUCUGAAAUACUCCACCACGUUCCAAGUCGCUUAAAUGCCCUCUCUUCCCUUUCUGAUGCUCGCUUUUAACUUCUAUUUAAAGUUAGGCUGAUUUGUGUUAACAAUUGAACAGGUAGACCUAAUAAAGUGGAGUAUAAAAAUAAUGCACGACGGACUAUGAUUCUUUUUUUUUUUUCGGCAAAAUGCCGAAACCCGGGAUCGAACCAGGGACCUUUAGAUCUUCAGUCUAACGCUCUCCCAACUGAGCUAUUUCGGCUACCGUACUACGUAAUAGACGUAGUAGAUGUUUCCUAAUAAUAUACUACUCUUAUUCAAAUAAUAAAUAUUUGAAAAUGCUGAUUUAUUCUGUCUUAGUUCUGAAUUGCAACGAAUGAGACCGCAGUUUGUUUAGCUGUCGAAAGAUUGACUUCGCUGUUUAAUUGGUUUUUCGAAAGAUCUCCGAUUCGCUGCUAAAAGAUGGAAUCGCGCACAUGAUUGACUUUCGAAUUUCUGGAUCGGCGACGCGACUGGCGGGCUUAUAUGGAUUUGCAGGAUAGAAUAGUUGGGGAAGGUGGAAGGUGAUCUAUAGAUCGACUGAGAAUUUAUUCUUUUAUCACUCACAUCCUGUUGUGAAGAGGACAUGGAAGAAGGAAGCUGGGGCUGAAGCAAAACUGUAGAUGACUGAAGAGGAGGCACUGCUGGAGGUGGUGGAGGCACGGCUGGAGGUGGAGGAGGCACUGCUUAAGGUGGUCAUCAGAAUACCACCAAUACCCUAAUACCCUAAUCAGAAACGACGCACUCCAGCGUACAACUGCCAAAGAAAACAAGCAAUUUCAUCGGCAGAAAAAAAUACAACCAGCUAAAGCUACGGCUGCAACUGCACA
Molecule: transfer RNA, 5014 nt
Filed under: Takifugu rubripes (torafugu)
Lineage: Eukaryota; Metazoa; Chordata; Actinopteri; Tetraodontiformes; Tetraodontidae
Description: lncRNA (ENSTRUG00000033361.1)
Source: RNAcentral